RNAcentral lists this ribosomal RNA (450 nucleotides) under uncultured bacterium. RNAcentral describes it as "partial 16S ribosomal RNA". It matches the Rfam family "Bacterial small subunit ribosomal RNA", at positions 354 to 796 of the family's 1533-position model. The record is from RNAcentral.
GUGGGGAAUAUUGGACAAUGGGCGAAAGCCUGAUCCAGCCAUGCCGCGUGUGUGAAGAAGGUCUUCGGAUUGUAAAGCACUUUAAGUUGGGAGGAAGGGCAGUAAGUUAAUACCUUGCUGUUUUGACGUUACCGACAGAAUAAGCACCGGCUAACUUCGUGCCAGCAGCCGCGGUAAUACGAAGGGUGCAAGCGUUAAUCGGAAUUACUGGGCGUAAAGCGAGCGUAGGUGGUUUUGUAAGUUGGAGGUGAAAUCCCCGGGCUCAACCUGGGAACUGCCUCCAAAACUGCAUGACUAGAGUACGGUAGAGGGUAGUGGAAUUUCCUGUGUAGCGGUGAAAUGCGUAGAUAUAGGAAGGAACACCAGUGGCGAAGGCGACUACCUGGACUGAUACUGACACUGAGGUGCGAAAGCGUGGGGAGCAAACAGGAUUAGAAACCCCAGUAGUCC